CCCUUAGAUGUCCGGGGCUGCACGCGCGCCACACUGAGUGGAUCAGCGUGUGUCUACCCUUCGCCGGGAGGCGUGGGUAACCCGCUGAACCCCACUCGUGAUAGGGAUUGGGGAUUGCAAUUAUUUCCCAUGAACGAGGAAUUCCCAGUAAGCGCGGGUCAUAAGCUCGCGUUGAUUAAGUCCCUGCCCUUUGUACACACCGCCCGUCGCUACUACCGAUUGGAUGGUUUAGUGAGGUCCUCGGAUCGGCCCCGCCGGGGUCGGUCACGGCCCUGGCGGAGCGCCGAGAAGACGAUCAAACUUGACGAUCUAGAGGAAGUAAAAGUCGUAACA
Molecule: ribosomal RNA, 333 nt
Filed under: uncultured eukaryote
Lineage: Eukaryota
Description: partial 18S ribosomal RNA
Rfam family: Eukaryotic small subunit ribosomal RNA
Source: RNAcentral